RNAcentral lists this long non-coding RNA (940 nucleotides) under Apteryx rowi (Okarito brown kiwi). RNAcentral's name for it is "lncRNA (ENSARWG00000012521.1)". The record is from RNAcentral. Lineage: Eukaryota; Metazoa; Chordata; Aves; Apterygiformes; Apterygidae.
GAGUCUGACAGGCAAGGACAGCUUCUGGCUGAGAUAUUUCAUAAACUUUUUGCUGAUUUCUUCACAGGUGUCCUAAGAAAGCAUCUGUGUAGAGAUCAUUUGUUGGACCUGCAGCUGGACUGGUUGGUAAAGGACAACAGAAGAUCUGUCCAUGUAGAAAGGCAAGCUGGGAGGAUAUGGCCAUGAAGGAAAGAACAGAGAAGGAUCUGGACACGACGGAGGCACAGGGUGUUUGUGGGAGCUGUGGAGGAGCCGGUACGGCCAGGGAAUAGAGCAAGCCUCAGGAGAGUAGAAGUACCUGAAACUGAAAAUGCUUCUGCUUUGUGCAUGCCGAUACACGCACCAUGGCCUGUCUGCCUCUUCAUGCAGAGCAGCUUCUGUCUUGCAGGACGUUGGCGUCAAGACUUUGGCACAAGAACGACACAGCCAGCUACCCUUACAUAAUUCAGCAAGGAGAUUUCUCUGAGGAGACACAGCUAGAUGCUCUGACUGUUUUCAAGGUUUUCCACUUCUGCAUUCCUGUUGAGACUGAGAAGAAAUGUCUACAAAGCAUUUUAAAGGUCAUAUUUGUGCAUCCUAUUUGUACCCGUCUCCAUCUCUUGGCUUGAAAGGUGAAAUGAUGGUUCUUUAUUUUGCUUGCUGUCUUUAGUUGCUUUGAUUUCUGGGUUCUGUUCCGCUAAUUUAACUGCCGGGUCCCCUUAAUUCAGGGGAGUAUUCUUGUUUUUAAAAAGGUAGAGAAACCAUUAUCUGCGGCAUAUUCUAAAAAGCGUUCUUUGUAUUAAGCUUAUUUUCUGAAAACCUAAAUAUUUCAGUAACAUUAUUUAAACUACGCAUCAUUAUAUGCAUCACUGACAGCAUGAAUUAAACCAAAAGAGUUCAGGCUACUUUGUCUUCAUAGUAAAAGAAUAAAUAAAGGAUACUCAAGGAAUUGAGAGGAUUA